GAAAAUAACUCUAAAAUAUUAAAAACAAAUCGGAAAAUUUAAAUUUAAAAACAAAUCGGAAAAGGAAAAUAACUCUAAAAUAUUAAAAAAAAACUAAUAAACACCUUAAAAAGAAAACGAUGUUGAUUUAUUCUCUAUUGAUUUUCUUUGCAUAUUCUUUUUCUCUCUAUUUCUGUCUCUGUUUAAGCUCCAAAAAUCCCCCCAAUUUACAGAUUUAUCUCGGUCUUUUAUAGCCGAAAAUGGAAAAC
This 248-nucleotide long non-coding RNA is filed under the name Gossypium raimondii (Peruvian cotton). Its description in RNAcentral is "long non-coding RNA (GRAI_LNC000062)". The record is from RNAcentral. Lineage: Eukaryota; Viridiplantae; Streptophyta; Magnoliopsida; Malvales; Malvaceae.